ACUGAAACAUUUGCCUUUUAUCAGUUGAUUUCCUAAAACCACUUCAUCUCGCCUGUGUUGUUUUAUUUUUGAGUCUUUAGACUAUUGUCAGUGACUCUCUCCUUUGGGAUUGUUUUUUUUUUGCACAUCUGAAUGGAUUGUUUUGGAGAAGUGAGCGAGUCUGACUGUUGUGAGAGGGGGAUGAUCACACCGCGAUAAUUCGACUGACUAAGAAGUUCCUGCUUCAAUGACUUUGUCCCACGGAGGGAUGUGACUUCCAGACCCCUCAGAUUGAUUGUUUACUUGGAAGCUGAGGGAGGAGAGCAUCUAGUUGUUUCCCAAGCUGUGCCUGGGAGAUGAUGUGGAAGCCGUAUGUGGUCCAGGGGAAGUAUUUAUGGCCCUGCUUGAAUCUGGUUGGGCUUCGCUGAUAGCUGAGAUAAUGGGAGCGAAUGGGAUGCAGCGAGCUGUUCUAAUGGCACCAACAAGACAUGGGAACAGCCAGGAUAAAUAAAUUAUCUGUGGAACUGGAGUUAGCUGGACUGUAACAAUGGACUUUUCUUCUUUUACCUGAAGCGGCGUUCAAAAGCACAUGUUGUUCUUUAUGCUUGAGCUUUGAACAAUCACUAUCUGCAGAAGAGCAUUUCUUAACACACAACAAUCAAACCUUAAAGCAGAUGAGCUACAGCAGCAGCAGAAGAAGAGCACACUGUUGAUAUUCCUGACAUUAACAACAGCCAACUGAGGCUACAGUUCACACAGACUCAACAAAUUUGGACAAUCGAAAGCCAGCAAAGGUUGUGUGGUGUCUGCUGUGACGUUUGGAUAUCUGAUUUAGAGUUUGACCUGAACAACAUGGAAGCAUGAAUCC
Molecule: non-coding RNA, 847 nt
Organism: Danio rerio (zebrafish)
Lineage: Eukaryota; Metazoa; Chordata; Actinopteri; Cypriniformes; Danionidae
Source: Ensembl